Molecule: long non-coding RNA, 462 nt
Organism: Cryptotermes secundus
Lineage: Eukaryota; Metazoa; Arthropoda; Insecta; Blattodea; Kalotermitidae
Exons: 4
Source: RefSeq, a predicted model, not a curated record
CUCAGAGAAAGUAUAUAAAGAGGAACAUGGCUUAGCUUCAGCAUGGAGAAGCCCCUAGUGAGUCAGAAUUAGCAUUCACAGGUGACGAGUCUGCGGUUCCAGUUUCAGUGGUAAAGAGAAAUGAAGAAAUUCAUCUUCCUCGCUUUAGCUGUGAUGAUGAUGAUGCUCGGCCUGGCUGCCGGAGCGUGUGAUAUACUGUGCACGAGGAUCUACCUGCCUGUGUGCGCUGGAAACGGCGUCACGACGAAAACUUUCUCCAACCCCUGCAUGUUGGACAUCUACAACUGUGAAAACCCGGAGACUCAAUUACUUCAACUGCGAACUGGUGCUUGUGAAUUUUGAAGGACGGACACUGGCGAAAGAAGUGAAAGAAUUUCGAUUUGGAAUAAGAGAUUCAGAAUGGCUAUGUAAUUUGGGAAAAAAGGAAAUUCAUAUAUAUUAAAUUAUGACUGUACUUCCUCA